AUUGAACGCUGGCGGCAGGCCUAACACAUGCAAGUCGAGCGAGCGGCGGACGGGUGAGUAAUGUCUGGGAGAACGCCUGAUGGAGGGGGGUAACUACUGGAAACGGUAGCUAAUACCGCAUACCAUCAGAUGUGCCCAGAUGGGAUUAGCUAGUAGGUGGGGUAACGGCUCACCUAGGCGACGAUCCCUAGCUGGUCUGAGAGGAUGACCAGCCACACUGGAACUGAGACACGGUCCAGACUCCUACGGGAGGCAGCAGUGGGGAAUAUUGCACAAUGGGCGCAAGCCUGAUGCAGCCAUGCCGCGUGUAUGAAGAAGGCCUUCGGGUUGUAAAGUACUUUCAGCGGGGAGGCGUUACCCGCAGAAGAAGCACCGGCUAACUCCGUGCCAGCCGCCGCGGUAAUUC
Molecule: ribosomal RNA, 406 nt
Filed under: uncultured bacterium
Lineage: Bacteria
Description: partial 16S ribosomal RNA
Rfam family: Bacterial small subunit ribosomal RNA
Source: RNAcentral